Molecule: microRNA, 24 nt
Filed under: Bos taurus (domestic cattle)
Lineage: Eukaryota; Metazoa; Chordata; Mammalia; Artiodactyla; Bovidae
Description: Bta-Mir-362-P3a-v1_3p (mature (guide))
Source: RNAcentral
AAUCCACCUGGGCAAGGAUUCUGA